UGUUUCCAUUCUAAAAAAACAGAACGACUAGCAGGGUUGGUUGCAAUUCUUCUCGGUUGUGUCCAAUGGCGGCUGCUGAUGAUAUUGGUUAUGAUGUGUUCGAGCAGAUCUUCAUACGAUUGGGUGUGGAAGAUCUGAUGAGAUGCAAGUGCGUUAUCAUUGAAGAGUAGUUGAGUGGUGCUGCUAUAGAGUUCAACUAGGCUUCAUGAGAAACCAUGAUCACUCGAAUCUAGCUAGAAAUUGAUCAGAUUCCAGAAUUCCUCUUCCAUCAAUCAAUAGGUAAGUAAUAAGUAUUAAUUAGAUAGUCGGGUUCCAGUCCAGAGGUGUUGUCCAACUAGUUGACUAGACAUAGAUUCUGAAGGCUGGAUACCAUGUUGGGGCCAUUAACAUACUAUCAUGAGGGAGAAGUGAAAUAAUAUGUUCCCAUAUGCUGCAAAACUUACUACUAAGACUGUAUAAGAGUUAAAAAAUGAGCAGAGCAGGGAAGAGGAAAGGGAAGAUCAGUGAGAGUGUGAAUGAAGCAGGUAAUGCUGAGUGAUGAAACAACAAGGAUAUUUGCGCAAUAUCAAAAGCGUCUUUGUUCUUCUGUUAAUCAAGCAAAGGAUGCCUAGAGGCUGGAGAUUGAUUAUCCAGUAAAUGGUUUUCAAGUGGAGAAUGAGAAAAGGAUGGAAAUCUACUGAAGAUGUAUUUCAUUUAGAAACAAGCAGGGAAAGGAAUAUCAGUGCGCCAUAUGAAGGAUCGAGUUGGUAUCCAUUUGAACCUGCAACGGAAACUGGCAACUUACGUAUUGAUGUCGAGGGGGAUAUACCUAAUGAGGUCCGUAAUGUGAUUCUCAAUUAAUAUUCUUAAAAGUCCCCAUGAGUUACUACUUACACUCAGCGGCUGAAAUAUCUGAUUUCUAAAGCAAUGUGCUACACCUAAACAUUAAGGUUAAAUUUCCUUUUUACUAGGAAUAGUUUAUUAAUCAAUUCAUUUUAUCGUCA
Molecule: long non-coding RNA, 983 nt
Organism: Erigeron canadensis
Lineage: Eukaryota; Viridiplantae; Streptophyta; Magnoliopsida; Asterales; Asteraceae
Exons: 2
Source: RefSeq, a predicted model, not a curated record